CCGCAGCUGCCCGCGGUGCCUGCGCGCCGUUGCGCCCCUGCGGCCGUGCGGAGCGUCCGGCGGAGCGGUGCGGCGCGACUAACAGCGCCGAGCGGGAGGAAACGCUCAGCAUCUGCGGGCAUCCCUGUGAGACUCCACGAAGGACCACAAACCCAGGCGGCCACGGCCGUGCUGGGGAACAAGGCAGAGCAUUUUGCACCUGCUCAGCUGCAGUGAGGAUGCCUCGAUGCCGACGAGGAAGCGGCAGCAAAACACGAGUAGCGGCUGGAGCCUCAUCUGUACCGCGGCUCCUGCCAGCACAGCUGUACCACUGACAGCAGCGGAACAUUUUGCUCAAGUUCUCUAGAGGAAUCAAAGCCUGUAUUUUCUGUCUCUGGCUCUCUCUUGUCCUGUUGUUCCUCGUUCUUUAGAAAAAAAAAAAAAAAAAGAAUCAGCCACAUGCAGCACGUGGCUGCUCGCUGUGUUUGGGAAAAAAGAAAUGUUUGGGGGAAGGAACAAAACCAGCCCAAGCUGUUUUGAAAUCAGUAGCGUGUAAACAGUACCUGGAACUGAGGGGAACAAUGAUAUUAAUUAGUGCUCUGGUGUCAUGAAUAUGUGCAUCGCUGCCUGCUGUUUCAUUACGAGACAGCGCAACUUCUGCAAUGGAGCCUGGAGAGUGUUUGGGGGAACGGCACCACUAAUGCCUCCUCCAGCUCUUAUGUAACCGACAUCACAAGUCAGAGCCCGAACUGCAAAGCAUAAGCAUGUGCAUCAUAUUAAGCAUGUAAACAGUGCCUUAAAUUACUGUCCUUUUACUGAUGGUCUGGCUUUAAUCUAUUGCUAUUUUUAGUUCUGCAGUUCCAUUCAUUUCAAUACACGGUGGUGCCAUGAAUAGCAGAGCCAAGAGUCUCCCCUUCAACUUCACACCACGAAAACGUUCACCAAACUGAAAUAAAUUCGGCACAAACCACUUUGGUUUCAGGUUGAUAUAGUCCAAAUGAUGUGUAUACCAGACCUAAUGCAUAUCUGGUAGUAUGAUGCUAUAGAAAGCCAGGAUACAAUGCCAUUGUGGCUGGGUUUUGCACACCUGUCCAAGGCACAGCUUAGCAGUGGUCUUCCUUUGUGUUCUGCCUCCUUCCUACAGACUAUAUUCCCCAUUCGCACGCAGAUCUCCUAUCUGGAGUUUUAAGGUGUUAGGUGCUGAUAUUGUGAGCACCUCUUGUAUCUGUUUAAUCCAAUAACAGAACUCGUCUUUAA
Molecule: long non-coding RNA, 1236 nt
Organism: Coturnix japonica (Japanese quail)
Lineage: Eukaryota; Metazoa; Chordata; Aves; Galliformes; Phasianidae
Source: RefSeq, a predicted model, not a curated record